GAACAGGAAAUAGCCCAGCACUGAAUCCCGCCGUUGUAACGGCGGCGGGAGAUGUGGUGUUCGGGAGGUUCCGCUUUCUCGUCGUCGUCUUCUCCUGUCCAAGUUCGUCUUGAACGGGGCCGUUUUCCCGUAGAGGGUGCCAGGCCCGUAGCGACGGAGGAUGGCGGCGAGAGGGACUCUCCUCAGAGUCGGGUUGCUUGAGAGUGCAGCCCUAAGUGGGUGGUAAACUCCAUCUAAGGCUAAAUAUCACCGCGAGACCGAUAGCGAACAAGUACCGUAAGGGAAAGUUGA
RNAcentral lists this ribosomal RNA (291 nucleotides) under Idaea sp. ja001. RNAcentral describes it as "partial 28S rRNA". It matches the Rfam family "Eukaryotic large subunit ribosomal RNA", at positions 95 to 367 of the family's 3401-position model. The record is from RNAcentral. Lineage: Eukaryota; Metazoa; Arthropoda; Insecta; Lepidoptera; Geometridae.